This 253-nucleotide ribosomal RNA is filed under the name uncultured bacterium. RNAcentral describes it as "partial 16S ribosomal RNA". It matches the Rfam family "Bacterial small subunit ribosomal RNA", at positions 524 to 776 of the family's 1533-position model. The record is from RNAcentral.
UACGAGAGGCCCAAACGUUAUUCGGAAUUCCUGGGCUUAAAGAGUUCGUAGGCGGCAUUGCAAGUAGGGUGUGAAAGCCCUCGGCUCAACCGAGGAAUUGCGCUCUAAACUGCAGUGCUUGAGGAACCUAGAGGUGAGCAGAACAGAUGGUGGAGCGGUGAAAUGCGUUGAUAUCAUCUGGAAUACCGGAGGCGAAGGCGGCUCACUGGGAGUUUUCUGACGCUGAGGAACGAAAGCCAGGGUAGCGAACGGG